AUGAACGCUGGCGGCGUGCUUAACACAUGCAAGUCGAACGAUGAAGCCCAGCUUGCUGGGUGGAUUAGUGGCGAACGGGUGAGUAACACGUGAGUAACCUGCCCUUAACUCUGGGAUAAGCCUGGGAAACUGGGCCUAAUACCGGAUAGGAGCGUCCACCGCAUGGUGGGUGUUGGAAAGAUUUAUCGGUUUUGGAUGGACUCGCGGCCUAUCAGCUUGUUGGUGAGGUAAUGGCUAACCAAGGCGACGACGGGUAGCCGGCCUGAGAGGGUGACCGGCCACACUGGGACUGAGACACGGCCCAGACUCCUACGGGAGGCAGCAGUGGGGAAUAUUGCACAAUGGGCGCACGCCUGAUGCAGCGACGCCGCGUGAGGGAUGCCGGCCUUCGGGUUGUAAACCUCUUUCAGUAGGGAAGAAGCGAAAGUGACGGUACCUGCAGAAGAAGCACCGGCUAACUACGUG
This 465-nucleotide ribosomal RNA is filed under the name uncultured bacterium. RNAcentral's name for it is "partial 16S ribosomal RNA". It matches the Rfam family "Bacterial small subunit ribosomal RNA", at positions 29 to 507 of the family's 1533-position model. The record is from RNAcentral.